UACAGAGGGUGCAAGCGUUAAUCGGAAUUACUGGGCGUAAAGCGCACGUAGGCGGUUUUUUAAGUCAGAUGUGAAAGCCCCGGGCUCAACCUGGGAAUUGCAUUUGAAACUGGGGAACUAGAGUGUGUGAGAGGGGGGUAGAAUUCCAAGUGUAGCGGUGAAAUGCGUAGAGAUUUGGAGGAAUACCAGUGGCGAAGGCGGCCCCCUGGCACGAUACUGACGCUCAGGUGCGAAAGCGUGGGGAGCAAACAGG
Molecule: ribosomal RNA, 253 nt
Filed under: uncultured bacterium
Lineage: Bacteria
Description: partial 16S ribosomal RNA
Rfam family: Bacterial small subunit ribosomal RNA
Source: RNAcentral